GAUGAACGCUGGCGGCGUGCCUAAUACAUGCAAGUCGAGCGAACGGACGAGAAGCUUGCUUCUCUGAUGUUAGCGGCGGACGGGUGAGUAACACGUAGAUAACCUACCUAUAAGACUGGGAUAACUUCGGGAAACCGGAGCUAAUACCGGAUAAUAUUUUGAACCGCAUGGUUCAAAAGUGAAAGACGGUCUUGCUGUCACUUAUAGAUGGAUCCGCGCUGCAUUAGCUAGUUGGUAAGGUAACGGCUUACCAAGGCAACGAUGCAUAGCCGACCUGAGAGGGUGAUCGGCCACACUGGAACUGAGACACGGUCCAGACUCCUACGGGAGGCAGCAGUAGGGAAUCUUCCGCAAUGGGCGAAAGCCUGACGGAGCAACGCCGCGUGAGUGAUGAAGGUCUUCGGAUCGUAAAACUCUGUUAUUAGGGAAGAACAUAUGUGUAAGUAACUGUGCACAUCUUGACGGUACCUAAUCAGAAAGCCACGACUAACUACGUG
RNAcentral lists this ribosomal RNA (497 nucleotides) under uncultured bacterium. Its description in RNAcentral is "partial 16S ribosomal RNA". It matches the Rfam family "Bacterial small subunit ribosomal RNA", at positions 28 to 507 of the family's 1533-position model. The record is from RNAcentral.